UCCACUCUCAUGCAAAUGAUGCAGUCAUCUCUUCAACACAAUAGUUUCACCAAAUCAGUGACAAAGUGGACAAAAGUAAAUACCCCUGAAUGAAUUGGCCCAAAGUUUCUAAAGAAAAAACAGAUGAAUGAGGAGAUAAUGCAAUUAAAUUGACUAUAUUGCCUACCCAAGCAAAUAUGAACAAUCUUUAAGAAAUGACUCUUCC
This is a long non-coding RNA of Rhodamnia argentea, 205 nucleotides long. RefSeq lists it as uncharacterized. The transcript has 4 exons. Lineage: Eukaryota; Viridiplantae; Streptophyta; Magnoliopsida; Myrtales; Myrtaceae. The record is from RefSeq and is a predicted model, not a curated record.